Molecule: ribosomal RNA, 329 nt
Filed under: uncultured eukaryote
Lineage: Eukaryota
Description: partial 18S ribosomal RNA
Rfam family: Eukaryotic small subunit ribosomal RNA
Source: RNAcentral
CCCUUAGAUGUUCUGGGCCGCACGCGCGCUACACUGAUGCAUUCAACGAGUCUAAAACCUGCUCUGAUAGGGGUGGGUAAUCUUUUGAAUGUGCAUCGUGAUUGGGAUAGAUGAUUGCAAUUUUUCAUCUUCAACGAGGAAUGCCUAGUAAACGCAAGUCAUCAGCUUGCAUUGAUUACGUUCCUGCCCUUUGUACACACCGCCCAUCGCUCCUACCGAUUGAAUGAUCCGAUGAAUAUCAUGGAUUGAGGAUGCAAGUAGGUUAGCCUAUCUUCAUCUUCGAGAAGUGAAGUAAAUCUUAUCAUUUAGAGGAAGGAGAAGUCGUAACA